AUGCAACUGCCUCACACCAAACAGCUUCUGCACAGCAAAGGAAACCAACUACAGAACAGAGACAAUCCACUGAAUGGGAGAAGACACUUUAACAUCAAAUAUCUGGCACCUUAGGUCAACUCUGCUUCCACUCCUGUGGCCUGGGACUCCGUCUGCUGUCCCUCACUCGCCUCUGCUCUCAUGGACAGUGACCCGCCUGCAAAACUCAGACCUCAGUGUGAGAAGACAGAUGGAAGAAGAAAGACAAUGUAAUUCCCUCACUGGACAGAGCAUGACCAUAGCUGAGUUCCCUAGCAACACUUAGAACUCUGCGAAAGAUAUCAAAGCAAUCUCAAUUAAGUGUACUGUACAUUAAUUACAUUUCAAUAAAAAGUACACUGAUCUUACUGCAAACUA
Long non-coding RNA from Odocoileus virginianus texanus, 396 nucleotides. RefSeq lists it as uncharacterized. The record is from RefSeq and is a predicted model, not a curated record. Lineage: Eukaryota; Metazoa; Chordata; Mammalia; Artiodactyla; Cervidae.